CAGCCGCCGCGGUAAAACGUAGGGUGCAAGCGUUGUCCGGAAUUAUUGGGCGUAAAGAGCUCGUAGGCGGUUUGUCGCGUCUGCUGUGAAAUCCCGAGGCUCAACCUCGGGCUUGCAGUGGGUACGGGCAGACUAGAGUGCGGUAGGGGAGAUUGGAAUUCCUGGUGUAGCGGUGGAAUGCGCAGAUAUCAGGAGGAACACCGAUGGCGAAGGCAGAUCUCUGGGCCGUAACUGACGCUGAGGAGCGAAAGCGUGGGGAGCGAACAGGAUUAGAGACCCCAGUAGUCCCUGUCUCUUAUAA
RNAcentral lists this ribosomal RNA (301 nucleotides) under uncultured bacterium. RNAcentral's name for it is "partial 16S ribosomal RNA". It matches the Rfam family "Bacterial small subunit ribosomal RNA", at positions 509 to 809 of the family's 1533-position model. The record is from RNAcentral.